This 213-nucleotide long non-coding RNA is filed under the name Elaeis guineensis (African oil palm). RNAcentral's name for it is "long non-coding RNA (EGUI_LNC017500)". The record is from RNAcentral. Lineage: Eukaryota; Viridiplantae; Streptophyta; Magnoliopsida; Arecales; Arecaceae.
GCGCCCGCAACUCUCUCUCUCUCCGUAUGUGUGCAUGUAGCUAGCGUUUUUUUAAUUUUCUAAGAAUGAUGCCUCCUGCUGGGGACAUGUUGGGCUCGAAACACAUAUGAUAGCUAGGAACCAAUAUGAUAGCUAGCCCUCUUGCCCACGGGCCACAACACUCGUCUCUUUCCGUGCCUGUAUAUAUCCUAAUUUCUUUAAUUUUUUGGAUAA